UCCCCGGUGGUGUAAUGGCAACACACUUGACUGUUAAUCAAGGUUUGGAGGUUCGAGUCCUCCCCGGGGAG
RNAcentral lists this transfer RNA (71 nucleotides) under Solirubrobacteraceae bacterium. RNAcentral's name for it is "tRNA-Asn". It matches the Rfam family "tRNA". Rfam says of the family: Transfer RNA (tRNA) molecules are approximately 80 nucleotides in length. Their secondary structure includes four short double-helical elements and three loops (D, anti-codon, and T loops). Lineage: Bacteria; Bacillati; Actinomycetota; Thermoleophilia; Solirubrobacterales; Solirubrobacteraceae. RNAcentral also lists the same sequence under 2 other names. The record is from RNAcentral.